GACGAACGCUGGCGGCGUGCUUAACACAUGCAAGUCGAACGAUGAAGGAGAGAAACGCGAACUUCGGUUCAAAUUUCACUUCGGAUUAGUGGCAGACGGGUGAGUAACGCGUGAGCAACCUACCUCUUACAAAGGGAUAGCCUCGGGAAACCGUGAUUAAUACCAUAUGACACCUUCAUAAGGCAUCUUAAGAAUGUUAAAGCUACGGCGGUAAGAGAUGGGCUCGCGUCCCAUUAGCUAGUUGGUGAGGUAACGGCCCACCAAGGCGACGAUGGGUACCGGCCUGAGAGGGGGAGCGGUCACAUUGGAACUGAGACACGGUCCAAACUCCUACGGGAGGCAGCAGUGGGGAAUAUAGCACAAUGGAGGGAACUCUGAUGCAGCGACGCCGCGUGAGCGAUGAAGGAAUUCGUUUCGUAAAGCUCUGUUCUAUGGGAAGAAAAGGACUGUACCAUAGGAGAAAGCCCCGGCUAAAUACGUG
This 481-nucleotide ribosomal RNA is filed under the name uncultured bacterium. RNAcentral describes it as "partial 16S ribosomal RNA". It matches the Rfam family "Bacterial small subunit ribosomal RNA", at positions 28 to 507 of the family's 1533-position model. The record is from RNAcentral.